GACGAACGCUGGCGGCGUGCUUAACACAUGCAAGUCGAACGGAAAGGCCCUGCUUUUGUGGGGUGCUCGAGUGGCGAGCGGGUGAGUAACACGUGAGUAACCUGCCCUUGCCUUUGGGAUAACUUCAGGAAACUGGGGCUAAUACCGGAUAGGAGCUCCUGCUGCAUGGUGGGGGAUGGAAAGUUUCGGCGGUUGGGGAUGGAAUAGCGGCUUAUGAGCUUGUUGGUGAGGUAGUGGCUUACCAAGGCUUUGACGGGUAGCCGGCCUGAGAGGGGGACCGGGCACAUGGGUACUAAGAGACGCAGCAGACGCCUACGGGAGGCAGCAGUGGGGAACAUUGCGCAAUGGGCGGAAGCCUGAGGCAGAAACGCUGCGUGCGGGAUGACGGCCUUCGAGGGGUAAACCGCUGUCGACGGUGACGAAGACGGAGUGACGGUAAUGAAUAAAGAAGCACCGGCUAACUACGUG
Molecule: ribosomal RNA, 468 nt
Filed under: uncultured bacterium
Lineage: Bacteria
Description: partial 16S ribosomal RNA
Rfam family: Bacterial small subunit ribosomal RNA
Source: RNAcentral